Molecule: long non-coding RNA, 213 nt
Filed under: Elaeis guineensis (African oil palm)
Lineage: Eukaryota; Viridiplantae; Streptophyta; Magnoliopsida; Arecales; Arecaceae
Description: long non-coding RNA (EGUI_LNC051086)
Source: RNAcentral
ACCUAAGGUGCCACAGAUAUUUUUGGCUUAUCCUAUCUCUAAUUCUCUUAGACCCUAUGGCUUGUUGGAUUUUUGCCACAUAGCAAAAAUUAAUUUUAAAAAUUUUAAAAUAAGCAAAUCAAUAAUUUUAUCAAAUAAAACUAUCGAGCUGAACCCAAAACCCUAAAAUCACCUUAUCGAACACGAUCAUAGCAAAUUCAAGCAUGCAAAGAG